RNAcentral lists this long non-coding RNA (3133 nucleotides) under Homo sapiens (human). RNAcentral's name for it is "HSALNT0222214". The record is from RNAcentral. Lineage: Eukaryota; Metazoa; Chordata; Mammalia; Primates; Hominidae.
CCUGGGGAUGGGGGUGCAGGUUAGCGGUGAGAGCUGGAGGCACCAAGAGAAAGUGGGAGGAAAAUAAACAGCAGGCCCACGAGUGACACUGUCCAGGUGAUGUCGGCCCUCCAGAGUUUGCUGAAUGAGUCCUAUUGAGCCCUCGAGGGUGGAAGAAGAGAUAUUGAUCGAGGAGGUGGUAGCUCUGAGAAGCCCCUGCUGCUCCCUUUGUAGGACUUACAAGGCACUAUAAAGCCAUCUUUGCUUCAUACAGGCUUGGGGCAGAGAGAGAAAUGCUAAGGAAAGAGGGUUGGGGUCUCAGGACAAGGAGAGUGGUGCUCUUGGCCCCUGAGAGCACUUGUUCAGGUUUUGAUGAACUGAGCUGAGGUCACCCCAGGUGCACAUGGCCCGAUGAGCUUGGGAAGUGAAAGAAGUGAGCUGAGAUAAGGAGGCAUGCAUCUCCCAUGGACGAGCUCCCCAGAUGUCCUUGGACCCUCCACUUGCCCGUCCUCUUAAUGGGAAUAUCUACAAUGAUUAAUGACAACCCCAAGAGCCUGUGUUUGUGGAAUGCUUGCCGGGUGCCCACUCUGUGCAAAGCCAUCUUACAUGCAUGCUUCUACUGAGUUCUUGCAGUAGCUUUAUGGAGGAGUGACUACGAGUACUUCCAGAGCAUUGACGAGGAUACUGACGCCCAUUUUGGGCAAAUGACUCACCCUAAGUCAUGUACACAGUUCGUUGCAGAGCUUCUGUUUGGACACAUGUCUGUCAGACUCCAGAGCCUGCUCUCCCAACCACUGUGCUCUCUGGCCCUUCAUUCAUUCAUUCUCGUCAUCCACUCACCCAAGACAAACCAAGACAGGUACUGAGUGAUGGGGGCACAAAGAAGACAUGGGCCUGUUUUCAGAGAGCUCUCCAUGGGGGAGAGCAGGGAGACAGAUCAUUAUCAUUCAAGGUGGCAAACAUCACCUGCUCUUAGUUGGGCAUGGACUUCUUAGAGUGUGCUGGGGAGAGAGAGACCACUGUGUGCUGGAGGAAUCAAGGAAGGCUAUCUGGAGGAGACAUUUUAGAGAAAGCCUUGAAGGAUAGUUAGAAGUUUGUCAGGAGAUAAAAGAGAGGGCCAAAAAGUAUUGGGUGUGUCUAGGAAACAGCACACAUUCUGGGGCACAAAGAAGAUGCUCAAAGAGGAGCCAUGGGAGAUGAGGCUGGAGAGGAGCCAUGGGAGAUGAGGCUGGAGAGUGGGCCAGGUUGUCAGGAGAGCCCAGGCAGAGGGGACAGGCAGUGGGGAGCCAUGGAGGGGUUUAUGCAGCGAGUGGCAUGUGGGUUUGCUUCAGAAUUAUAGCUGUGGCAGAAGCGGAUCAGAGUGAGGUGCCUGGGGGACCAUGGCUUGUCCAAGGGGACACUUACCCUAGCCUCUGGUAAGUCUCUGACAUUGCAAUUGGUUUUUAUUUGGAUUGAACCUCUUUUUUCAACAGAGCAGGGGCCUAAAGCUUUGCCUAGCACUUUUCUGGGCCCUUUGAGGAUACAGAAGGGAAGAGAAUAUGACUUUUGACCUCAGGGGCCUUUCAUCCCAGUUGGGCUCCGGGCUGACCCAGAAGCCAUUUGGGAAGAGUGAGCCGAAGGGCCCUGGCUGGGCCUGCCUUUGUCCCACCACAAAGGAAUAUGUCCAGGCUGCUGCUGAUGAUGUGGGGGUCAUUAUCUUAGAGAAGGCACUGUGAAGAUGUGAAAACAAAAGGGAGGGUGUGGAGUGAGAGAGGAGGGAGUCCAGAACAGCCCUCUAAGCAACACCCACGUCUAGGAGGAAGCUGAGCUGCCCACAAUCAGGGAGGAGAGCGGUGACGCCUGGGUGUCCAGCAGCUGAGGCCAGAAAGUGUGUCAAGGAGGAGGAAGUGUCGGCAGUGCCAGGCCGGGUCCAUAGCCCACGUGCGAUGGGGGAGGAAGGGCGUCCGCUAGAUUUGGCAACAAGGAGGUCAGAGGCAGCUGUCAGAGGCCAGCCUCAGCGGCCUGGAGGGGGCCGCAGCCAGACUGAGGGAGGUGGGAGGUGAGGAAGUGGGAAACACUUGUGUAGAUGCCCCCAGGUGAGAGGUUUGGCUGUGAAAGAAAAGCGGGGGUGGGACCACAGCGGGAAGGGGUCAGGAAGCCAAGAAAGGGAUGCUUUCCAGAAGAGGCUGAACUUGUGGCAACACUGUUGGCCAGGAGCCACGAGAGAGGGAGGGAGCUUGGGGAUGCAGCAGAUAGGGGCUGAUGGAAGGAGCGGUCUCUGAGGGUUAGGGAAACUGCUGCGGUGGAGACAGGGAGGAGGGCGGAAGGCGGGCGUGGGCGCAGCCGUCAGUCCACAGGUUGGGUGGCAGGACCCGAGGGCCUCUGGAGUCGUGCUGUGGAGGGUGCUGAGUCUGGGCGGCUGGGCCUGUGUGGAAGGUCAUGGUGGGCCUCCAGCUAUACCACUGUUGCCUUCUGCCUUUCUCAAUUCACCCCUCACUCUCCUCUCCUUCUCCUGCCCCCGCCUCACAUCCUGGAGAGGACAAGAAGAUGUAAGGGCCUUCACCUGGUGCCCCUUGGCCUCACGGUGCUGGUGACACUGGCAGAGAUGGAGAGGGGAAGCAAGGAAGCCCUGAGAAGGCUGCUGCCUGGGAGGAAGACGCCAGAGCUGCAGUGUUAACCUUGUGGGGGAGCAGGGGGUGGUGGGGGGAUGAGAGCCGGUGAGGGAGUCAGGAAGCUGACGGUGUGGGGAGUAAGGAGAGUGCCUGGGUUCACUGCGCAUAGGCUUGGGCAGGCUGGAGGAAGGAGCUGUGGAGAAAAGCCACAGAAAAUAAUUUCUCCACAGGUCCGUGGGCCCCGUGGUCCAAGGUAGAGCCAGUUUCCUCUGCAGGGAGUUUUCAGCGAGCGAGAAGAGAGGAGGAAUAUAGAAGACAGACUGGCCUUUCAUCUGGGCUUGACAUCUGCCAUGCAAAUUGUCACAGAAUGAUGAUGUGGCUGAACCGGUGGCCAGAUGGUCAUCGUCCUCAGUGGCUGGUCAUGGAGCACCCAGAGAAUUGCCAGAGGGUGUCACUGCAUCCCCCAGCAGGUGGAGCAACCCUCCUCCUGCCCAUCUUCCUUCUCCAUUCUCCAGAAUGAGGCCUCUCUCCUCCAACAGUCGCUAUUAUGUCGGCAAGGAGGC